GAAAAGUUAGUUAACCCAUCAAUAACAUGGCCUUGUCAUGGCCAAAUCACCUCAAUUCAGGUACUUUUUA
Molecule: transfer RNA, 70 nt
Filed under: Ctenolepisma longicaudatum (long-tailed silverfish)
Lineage: Eukaryota; Metazoa; Arthropoda; Insecta; Zygentoma; Lepismatidae
Description: tRNA-Asp
Source: RNAcentral